CGGGGCGUGGCGCAGCCUGGUAGCGCACUUGACUGGGGGUCAAGGGGUCGCUGGUUCGAGUCCAGUCGCCCCGACCG
This 77-nucleotide transfer RNA is filed under the name Myxococcales bacterium. RNAcentral describes it as "tRNA-Pro". It matches the Rfam family "tRNA". Rfam says of the family: Transfer RNA (tRNA) molecules are approximately 80 nucleotides in length. Lineage: Bacteria; Pseudomonadati; Myxococcota; Myxococcia; Myxococcales. The record is from RNAcentral.